CCCUUAGAUGUUCUGGGCCGCACGCGUGCUACACUGAGUGGAUCAGCGGGUCAGGUUGCGCGAAAGUGUUUCCUAAUCUUGAAAUCCGCUCGUGAUGGGGAUUGACGGUUGCAAUUUUCCGUCAUGAACGAGGAAUACCUUGUAAGCGCGCGUCAUCAUCCCGCGCUGAAUACGUCCCUGCCCUUUGUACACACCGCCCGUCGCUCCUACCGAUUGAGUGGUCCGGUGAGGCUUUGGGAUCUGAGCGGAAAGAGCGUUUCGCUGUUUCUGCUCGGAAAACUCAGUCGAACCUUAUCAUUUAGAGGAAGGAGAAGUCGUAACA
This 322-nucleotide ribosomal RNA is filed under the name uncultured eukaryote. RNAcentral's name for it is "partial 18S ribosomal RNA". It matches the Rfam family "Eukaryotic small subunit ribosomal RNA", at positions 1470 to 1796 of the family's 1831-position model. The record is from RNAcentral.